Molecule: transfer RNA, 67 nt
Filed under: Alectorobius cerradoensis
Lineage: Eukaryota; Metazoa; Arthropoda; Arachnida; Ixodida; Argasidae
Description: tRNA-Gln
Source: RNAcentral
UAACUUCAGGUGUAAAGGCACGUUAAAUUUUGAUUUUAAAGGAAAUGAAUCAUUUCAUUGGGGUUAA